CCUACGGGUGGCAGCAGUGAGGAAUAUUGGUCAAUGGCCGUAAGGCUGAACCAGCCAAGUCGCGUGAAGGAAGAAGGACCUAUGGUUUGUAAACCUCUUUUAUAGGGGAAUAAAGGUAUCCACGUGUGGAUAUUUGCAUGUACCCUAUGAAUAAGCAUCGGCUAACUCCGUGCCAGCAGCCGCGGUAAUACGGAGGAUGCGAGCGUUAUCCGGAUUUAUUGGGUUUAAAGGGUGCGUAGGUUGUGUUUUAAAGCAGCGGUGAAAAUUUGGGGCUCAACCCUAAAAUUGCCGUUGAAACUGGAAGACUUGAGUGUGUUAGAAGUAGGCGGAAUGCGUGGUGUAGCGGUGAAAUGCAUAGAUAGCACGCAGAACUCCGAUUGCGAAGGCAGCUUACUAGGCCAUAACUGACACUGAAGCACGAAAGCGUGGGGAUCAAACAGGAUUAGAUACCCGGGUAGUC
This 460-nucleotide ribosomal RNA is filed under the name uncultured bacterium. RNAcentral's name for it is "partial 16S ribosomal RNA". It matches the Rfam family "Bacterial small subunit ribosomal RNA", at positions 338 to 795 of the family's 1533-position model. The record is from RNAcentral.